UUCUUUGCUGACGAGUGGCGGACGGGUGAGUAAUGUCUGGGAAACUGCCUGAUGGAGGGGGAUAACUACUGGAAACGGUAGCUAAUACCGCAUAACGUCGCAAGACCAAAGAGGGGGACCUUCGGGCCUCUUGCCAUCGGAUGUGCCCAGAUGGGAUUAGCUAGUAGGUGGGGUAACGGCUCACCUAGGCGACGAUCCCUAGCUGGUCUGAGAGGAUGACCAGCCACACUGGAACUGAGACACGGUCCAGACUCCUACGGGAGGCAGCAGUGGGGAAUAUUGCACAAUGGGCGCAAGCCUGAUGCAGCCAUGCCGCGUGUAUGAAGAAGGCCUUCGGGUUGUAAAGUACUUUCAGCGGGGAGGAAGGGAGUAAAGUUAAUACCUUUGCUCAUUGACGUUACCCGCAGAAGAGGCACCGGCUAACUCCGUGCCAGCAGCCGCGGUAAUACGGAGGGUGCAAGCGUUAAUCGGAAUUACUGGGCGUAAAGCGCACGCAGGCGGUUUGUUAAGUCAGAUGUGAAAUCCCCGGGCUCAACCUGGGAACUGCAUCUGAUACUGGCAAGCUUGAGUCUCGUAGAGGGGGGUAGAAUUCCAGGUGUAGCGGUGAAAUGCGUAGAGAUCUGGAGGAAUACCGGUGGCGAAGGCGGCCCCCUGGACGAAGACUG
Molecule: ribosomal RNA, 665 nt
Filed under: uncultured Escherichia sp.
Lineage: Bacteria; Pseudomonadati; Pseudomonadota; Gammaproteobacteria; Enterobacterales; Enterobacteriaceae
Description: bacterial SSU rRNA
Rfam family: Bacterial small subunit ribosomal RNA
Source: RNAcentral